Molecule: unclassified non-coding RNA, 250 nt
Filed under: uncultured Pleosporales
Lineage: Eukaryota; Fungi; Ascomycota; Dothideomycetes; Pleosporales
Description: sequence contains ITS2
Source: RNAcentral
AACGCACAUUGCGCCCCUUGGUAUUCCAUGGGGCAUGCCUGUUCGAGCGUCAUUUGUACCCUCAAGCUUUGCUUGGUGUUGGGCGUCUUGUCUCUUCUUUGUGAUUAGACUCGCCUUAAAGUCAUUGGCAGCCAGUGUUUUUGGUAGUAAGCGCAGCACAUUUUGCGUCUUGGCCCUAAAACACUUGCGUCCAUUAAGCUACUUUCUCACUUUUGACCUCGGAUCAGGUAGGGAUACCCGCUGAACUUAA